Molecule: unclassified non-coding RNA, 265 nt
Filed under: Hevea brasiliensis (rubber tree)
Lineage: Eukaryota; Viridiplantae; Streptophyta; Magnoliopsida; Malpighiales; Euphorbiaceae
Source: RNAcentral
GGCAAAGUUGAGUGAUAUAGACCAUCUGGUUAUCUCCCAUUUUCUUCUCACUUGACAUAAACGAUACUCAGAAUAUGGGUAUCAAAAUUCAUGACGACACAGGUAUCAAAACAAAGCAGCUCAUUGUGAUAUUUCUACCAAGGAGCAACCUGACAAUAGUGAAAACAAGAUACAUAUCCUGCUGUGCCAAUGCCUUACCAUCUUUCAAAGAACAUCUCUGUAGCAAAGGUCCAGGUGGCAGAAGGCGAGCUGAUUCAUAAAUAGU